RNAcentral lists this ribosomal RNA (531 nucleotides) under uncultured bacterium. RNAcentral describes it as "bacterial SSU rRNA". It matches the Rfam family "Bacterial small subunit ribosomal RNA", at positions 979 to 1509 of the family's 1533-position model. The record is from RNAcentral.
CCUUGACAUCCAGAGAACUUAGCAGAGAUGCUUUGGUGCCUUCGGGAACUCUGAGACAGGUGCCGCAUGGCUGUCGUCAGCUCGUGUUGUGAAAUGUUGGGUUAAGUCCCGNAACGAGCGCAACCCUUUAUCCUUUGUUGCCAGCGGUUCGGCCGGGAACUCAAAGGAGACUGCCGGUGAUAAACCGGAGGAAGGUGGGGAUGACGUCAAGUCAUCAUGGCCCUUACGGCCAGGGCUACACACGUGCUACAAUGGCGCAUACAAAGAGAAGCGACCUCGCGAGAGCAAGCGGACCUCAUAAAGUGCGUCGUAGUCCGGAUUGGAGUCUGCAACUCGACUCCAUGAAGUCGGAAUCGCUAGUAAUCGUAGAUCAGAAUGCUACGGUGAAUACGUUCCCGGGCCUUGUACACACCGCCCGUCACACCAUGGGAGUGGGUUGCAAAAGAAGUAGGUAGCUUAACCUUCGGGAGGGCGCUUACCACUUUGUGAUUCAUGACUGGGGUGAAGUCGUAACAAGGUAAGCGUAGCGAG